AUUGAACGCUGGCGGCAUGCUUUACACAUGCAAGUCGAACGGCAGCGCGGGCUUCGGCCUGGCGGCGAGUGGCGAACGGGUGAGUAAUACAUCGGAACGUGCCCAGUAGUGGGGGAUAGCUCGGCGAAAGCCGGAUUAAUACCGCAUACGACCUGAGGGUGAAAGCGGGGGAUCUUCGGACCUCGCGCUAUUGGAGCGGCCGAUGGCAGAUUAGCUAGUUGGUGGGGUAAAGGCCUACCAAGGCGACGAUCUGUAGCUGGUCUGAGAGGACGACCAGCCACACUGGGACUGAGACACGGCCCAGACUCCUACGGGUGGCAGCAGUGGGGAAUUUUGGACAAUGGGCGAAAGCCUGAUCCAGCAAUGCCGCGUGUGUGAUGAAGGCCUUCGGGUUGUAAAGCACUUUUGGCGGGAACGAAAAGGACUGUGCCAAUACCACGGUUCGAUGACGGUACCCGCAGAAUAAGCACCGGCUAACUACGUG
RNAcentral lists this ribosomal RNA (484 nucleotides) under uncultured bacterium. RNAcentral describes it as "partial 16S ribosomal RNA". It matches the Rfam family "Bacterial small subunit ribosomal RNA", at positions 29 to 507 of the family's 1533-position model. The record is from RNAcentral.